RNAcentral lists this ribosomal RNA (253 nucleotides) under uncultured bacterium. RNAcentral describes it as "partial 16S ribosomal RNA". It matches the Rfam family "Archaeal small subunit ribosomal RNA", at positions 474 to 727 of the family's 1478-position model. The record is from RNAcentral.
UACCAGCACCCCGAGUGGUCGGGACGUUUAUUGGGCCUAAAGCAUCCGUAGCCGGUUCUACAAGUCUUCCGUUAAAUCCAACUGCUUAACAGGUGGGCUGCGGAAGAUACUAUAGAGCUAGGAGGCGGGAGAGGCAAGCGGUACUCGAUGGGUAGGGGUAAAAUCCGUUGAUCCAUUGAAGACCACCAGUGGCGAAGGCGGCUCGCUGGAACGUUACUGACGCUGAGACGCGAAAGCGUGGGGAGCAAACAGG